UGUAUAGGGAUUAAGAACUUGAC
RNAcentral lists this non-coding RNA (23 nucleotides) under Cricetulus griseus (Chinese hamster). Lineage: Eukaryota; Metazoa; Chordata; Mammalia; Rodentia; Cricetidae. The record is from RNAcentral.